UUUGUCUUGGCGGAGCAAAAUUACUGAAACAUUCUUUUCUCUUGAACUUGGAGCCUGACUGUUGCGAGAAGAAACCCCACCAGCCCCAAAGACAUAUUCUCUCAAUUUAACAGCAGACUGAGGUGUUUCUCCAACAUCAUCGGAUCAAUGAAAACCCCAGGGACGAUGCUGAUUGCCAAAGAUUGGACAAGCUAACAAGCGCAUGAUGAGGAACCAGUUGGUUCUUCUUGCUUUCUCUCAGUUUUCGGAGGUCUUUGGGACAGACACACACAAAAGGGAAGCUGAUCCAUGGAUGUAUUCUGUCAUUCUUUUGGAGGCUGCUUUUUCUUCCUUGUUUUGACUUGGUUCAACUUGAAAGGGUGCUUUUAAGGAUAUUGUGGGGUCCAAAAAUAAGUGGAAUUCCAGGAAAUCAAUGAAAGGAUGUAUUCAUGGAUCGGAGCUGGUGGACUAAAUUUUAACUCCGUUUCAGUUCAAGUCACUGACUCAUUUAUCAGAGUCUUCCAUCAUAGAGGUGGCCUAUUGAGAUCAGCACACUUUGGUUUUUCCAUUACAUGUGGGUGAGUCUUAACGUUUUCUAUGGAUCCAUCUUGUCCCAUAUAUGAUUAGUGAUUGG
Molecule: long non-coding RNA, 613 nt
Organism: Carassius carassius (crucian carp)
Lineage: Eukaryota; Metazoa; Chordata; Actinopteri; Cypriniformes; Cyprinidae
Exons: 3
Source: RefSeq, a predicted model, not a curated record